Molecule: ribosomal RNA, 399 nt
Filed under: Capnocytophaga granulosa
Lineage: Bacteria; Pseudomonadati; Bacteroidota; Flavobacteriia; Flavobacteriales; Flavobacteriaceae
Description: bacterial SSU rRNA
Rfam family: Bacterial small subunit ribosomal RNA
Source: RNAcentral
GAUGAACGCUAGCGGCAGGCCUAACACAUGCAAGUCGAGGGAGAAGCCCUUCGGGGCAGAAACCGGCGCACGGGUGCGUAACGCGUAUGCAACCUACCUUUCACAGGGGGAUAGCCCGAAGAAAUUUGGAUUAAUACCCCAUAAUAUUAUUGAAUGGCAUCAUUUGAUAAUUAAAAUUACGAUGGUGAAAGAUGGGCAUGCGUCCUAUUAGCUAGUUGGAGUGGUAACGGCACCCCAAGGCUACGAUAGGUAGGGGUCCUGAGAGGGAGAUCCCCCACACUGGUACUGAGACAGGGGACCAGACUCCUACCGGGAGGGCAGCAAGUGAGGAAUAUUUGUCAAUGGUCGGAAGGACUGAACCCAGCCCUGCCGCGUGCAGGAAGAAAGCCUUAUGGGGUG